This is a long non-coding RNA of Acanthopagrus latus (yellowfin seabream), 549 nucleotides long. RefSeq lists it as uncharacterized. The record is from RefSeq and is a predicted model, not a curated record. Lineage: Eukaryota; Metazoa; Chordata; Actinopteri; Spariformes; Sparidae. The transcript has 6 exons.
CAAGAUGGACGCCAGAGUCUGUUGAGUUGUCCAGGAUGUCGACGAUGUAUCGGCCACUUCUUCAUCUUCUGCGAUGAGAUCUGUCUCUCCUGCGUCAGUCUUCUUGUUGAGGGUUGUUCUCCUCCUCAUCCUCCUCAGGUUGUCUGUAGAUCUGCAGAGUGGCAGGAGUCGGUCUUCUGCGGCGGAUCUGAGAGCUUCAAGCUCGUGUCUGAACCGGCUCUGAUGCAGCAUCGUCUCACUGUCUCUGACGACAUGAUCAAUCUCAUCUCUCUUUGUGAACAUUCGGCCUCGACCUCACUCAAACCCUACGAAGGUUACCAAGGUUACUGACAGAGCGGCUUCUGAAUAACGAUUUCGCAACGUCGAGAGAGAGCCGGAUCUACCUGUUCGGUCCGUCAGGUCCAGGAUGCAGCCGGGCGGUCGGGGUUUGUGUCGACAGCUGGCUCACGUACCUGCAUUUGUUCAUCUAGAUGAGACGUCCACGCCCAGGUGAAGGAUCGCCAUCGAAACCAUCCACAGAACAUCUCCGUCCAUCACAAGAGGAACAAG